RNAcentral lists this ribosomal RNA (357 nucleotides) under Staphylococcus aureus. RNAcentral's name for it is "bacterial SSU rRNA". It matches the Rfam family "Bacterial small subunit ribosomal RNA", at positions 209 to 558 of the family's 1533-position model. Lineage: Bacteria; Bacillati; Bacillota; Bacilli; Caryophanales; Staphylococcaceae. The record is from RNAcentral.
UUGCUGUCACUUAUAGAUGGAUCCGCGCUGCAUUAGCUAGUUGGUAAGGUAACGGCUUACCAAGGCAACGAUGCAUAGCCGACCUGAGAGGGUGAUCGGCCACACUGGAACUGAGACACGGUCCAGACUCCUACGGGAGGCAGCAGUAGGGAAUCUUCCGCAAUGGGCGAAAGCCUGACGGAGCAACGCCGCGUGAGUGAUGAAGGUCUUCGGAUCGUAAAACUCUGUUAUUAGGGAAGAACAUAUGUGUAAGUAACUGUGCACAUCUUGACGGUACCUAAUCAGAAAGCCACGGCUAACUACGUGCCAGCAGCCGCGGUAAUACGUAGGUGGCAAGCGUUAUCCGGAAUUAUUGGG